UUUGAGUAUUGCAGCUCCAGGUACUUCCCUUUUACCUCUUUAAUGCCAUAGAUCUCCUUGGAUAUCUUCAAUGUAUGCAGUUCUCCUCCUGUAUUGAAGCCCUUCUUUAUAUACUGUGUCUCAAAGAGGUAUGCUAAAAAUAAAUGGAAAAACUUAUAAAUCUUUUGCUGAAAUUCCCAUGGUUUUCUAUGGAUAAGAAACCUCAUAUGUAUCUCCAAACUCCCAGAACUUGGAGAGAGGGAUCAAAACGAUCCAUUUUUUUUAGGUAUAAACAUCUCCAAUUAUACAAUCUGGUCUUGCAACAAAUAGAAGAAAAGUUGUACGUGUUUAUGUUGUUUGUCUUGCGCGUGAAAUCAUCUCCUCACUCCUCCCCAUAGUUGUACUAUACCUGUAACAAGUUUGUAUCUUCGUACGUAUAUGAUAUAGGGGGUUUUGCCAGUCUACUCCAUUGCGAAAAAUAAUAAAAAAACCCUUUUACACUGAUACUUGCUUUGUGUGGAAUCUUUGUGGUACUAUAUAUACACAUAUAUUAAGGUGUGAAAACACAGACGAUGUAAAUUUAAUAUAUAUUAUCUUUUCUUCAACGUCCCUUAACUUGUUCUUGUUCUCAACUAUUGUAUGGAAACCCUUUGUGAAAAAGCCAACUUAAGUACAGUUUUUAAGAACUCAUCAGCAACCAAUUAAGUUUGGGUUUUUCUUCUUUUAACUUGGAUUUUGUGGGGCAAUGUGAAGAUAUAUAUUUGGGGUAGCUAGUCUCUUCAAAUAGUACCUGAGAUUCAAGUAGUACCUGAGAUCUCUCUCUCUCUCUCUCU
RNAcentral lists this unclassified non-coding RNA (812 nucleotides) under Hevea brasiliensis (rubber tree). Lineage: Eukaryota; Viridiplantae; Streptophyta; Magnoliopsida; Malpighiales; Euphorbiaceae. The record is from RNAcentral.